CAUCUACCGCGCUUCAUUUCGUCAGGCAGGUGGCUUAUCAUCUUGCUGCUCAGGAAAGAAAGGAUGUUGGCAGAAGACAUGAAACUCCUUGGUCAGAGACAAAGGAUUCUGUCAUACAUGGCACAAAUUCUGCUAAGACCCUACUCCUAAAUCAAAGUGGAAACUUGAAGUCUGAAAGAGACAGAGACAGCCAGCGAGAGAGGGAACACAAGCAGGAGG
Molecule: long non-coding RNA, 219 nt
Organism: Ailuropoda melanoleuca (giant panda)
Lineage: Eukaryota; Metazoa; Chordata; Mammalia; Carnivora; Ursidae
Exons: 4
Source: RefSeq, a predicted model, not a curated record